Molecule: non-coding RNA, 29 nt
Filed under: Homo sapiens (human)
Lineage: Eukaryota; Metazoa; Chordata; Mammalia; Primates; Hominidae
Source: RNAcentral
UCUUCACAGACCAGUGAGUCCUCAGCUGA